Oncorhynchus gorbuscha (pink salmon) is the source of this 1245-nucleotide long non-coding RNA. RefSeq lists it as uncharacterized. The record is from RefSeq and is a predicted model, not a curated record. NCBI's taxonomy places the organism in Eukaryota, Metazoa, Chordata, Actinopteri, Salmoniformes, Salmonidae. The transcript has 4 exons.
CCGCCAAUAUCCAGCAAUUUUGCACAGCCAUUGAAGUUGAGUGGGACAACAUGCCACAGGCCACAAUCAACAGCCUGAUCAAAUCUAUGCAAAUCUAUGUGUCGUGCUGCGGUGGUCACACCAGAUACUGACUGGUUUUCUGAUCCAUGCCCUACUUUUUUUUAAAGGUAUCUGUGACCAACAGGGGCAGGGGCGCACCUUCGCUGGUGACGAUUCUGAAAUGGCAUUUUUGUCCCCCAUAGUUUUAUCAUUGCACUGUGUUACAUCUCCGGUGUGCUUUAGGACCAUGCGGACGCCUCAGAGCAGUCGGGUAGGCUGUUUUCUGGUUUCAGCUUGCUGCAUUUAGGACCGCAGAGACACUGCAGAGCAUACAGGCUGUUUGAAGGCAAAGCUUCUGAAAGGCUGGCGUAUAAGACCAGCACAGGAGAGAUGAACAGAGACCUGAAUCAAAUGAUGAAACCAGUGGCCAAAUGAUUGAAGACCGAUAUUUGGACGUUUUUUCAGCACAAUGAUCGGAUGGUGACAGGUGUCACUGCAGCGUCAGACAGCCAAGGAAGACCGGUCUACAUAGCUCAGGAUCAGACGGUGACAGGGGUCUCAUCAGGGUCAGGCAGCCAGGGAAGACCAGUCUGUGGCAGAGCUGCAGAUACAACACUUUAUUUUCUCUGUACAGAAAACAGGGGACAAGCAAGAAGCUGAAAAGAUUUAAACUAUUUUAAAGCAGUCUGACAAACCUCUAAAGUUGAUUUCCAAACUGUACCAAGAGUUGAUAGAGGCUUUUCCCGAUGACACAAAACAUGUGAAACAAAAAUGUGAGGAAGAACUGGGAGAUGCUAUUGAUGAUGAUGAAUGGAUACAGAUGCGUUUGAAUGUCUAGUCAUGCUCAUAUAAUCUCCGACAUAAAUGAUUACAGUUUAAGACCAUCCAUAGAAUGUACUAUAUGCCAGUGAAACUGAAUAUAAUGCACACAGAAAUGUAAUUAUUCUGCUGGUGGUGUAAAACACAAAAGGGAAAAUAUUUCAGUCUUGUGAAGGCUGGAUGAAUUCUGGCAAAGAGUAUGUUAUUUUAUCUCAGCAUGUCUACAGAUUCUCCCUUCGUCCUGUUUUUGUUUGCUUGGAAAUGUUGAUACUGGAAACUUAUCAGAAGAAACAGUGUAACCUAGUAUUUAUAGUGGCUAAGAAAUGCAUUGCAAUUAAUUCCAAAUCAAAUUUUAUUGGUCACAUACACAUAUUUGCAGAUGCUAUU